RNAcentral lists this ribosomal RNA (497 nucleotides) under uncultured bacterium. Its description in RNAcentral is "partial 16S ribosomal RNA". It matches the Rfam family "Bacterial small subunit ribosomal RNA", at positions 28 to 507 of the family's 1533-position model. The record is from RNAcentral.
GAUGAACGCUGGCGGCGUGCCUAAUACAUACAAGUCGAGCGAACAGAUGAGGAGCUUGCUCCUCUGACGUUAGCGGCGGACGGGUGAGUAACACGUGGAUAACCUACCUAUAAGACUGGGAUAACUUCGGGAAACCGGAGCUAAUACCGGAUAAUAUAUUGAACCGCAUGGCUCAAUAGUGAAAGACGGUUUUGCUGUCACUUAUAGAUGGAUCCGCGCCGCAUUAGCUAGUUGGUAAGGUAACGGCUUACCAAGGCAACGAUGCGUAGCCGACCUGAGAGGGUGAUCGGCCACACUGGAACUGAGACACGGUCCAGACUCCUACGGGAGGCAGCAGUAGGGAAUCUUCCGCAAUGGGCGAAAGCCUGACGGAGCAACGCCGCGUGAGUGAUGAAGGUCUUCGGAUCGUAAAACUCUGUUAUUAGGGAAGAACAAAUGUGUAAGUAACUAUGCACGUCUUGACGGUACCUAAUCAGAAAGCCACGGCUAACUACGUG